Long non-coding RNA from Gossypium raimondii (Peruvian cotton), 392 nucleotides. RefSeq lists it as uncharacterized. The record is from RefSeq and is a predicted model, not a curated record. Lineage: Eukaryota; Viridiplantae; Streptophyta; Magnoliopsida; Malvales; Malvaceae. The transcript is spliced from 3 exons.
CUUUUGUUUCUAUCAACCGAAUGUAAAAGAAAAGAAAAAGAAAAGAACAAGCUAAGGGUUCGGCCAUUUUUUGAGUUUGAUUAAGAUCAAGAACAGAAGAAAACGGAAUUAGAUCGGGGGAAGUUGAAAGUAGUCGAGUAGUCGACUGUGUCCGUCGAAAUCCAAGAUUUUGGAAUUCAUUACGAGUUCGGGAAUCGUCAGCAAGACUUAUCACACUAUCGACAGUUACUUUCGGUACUUUAUUAAGUUGUUUUUGAGUAUAUGACAUCUAUAGCAUAGUUGAAAUGUUGAUUUUGGGUCAAUUUGUAUAUGAAAUUAAUAGCCAUGCGAAAAUGGCUCAUCCUAUUUUGAUCGAGUUUGGUGUUUAUGAAUAUGGUUUUUAAUGGUCAUGG